This 105-nucleotide ribosomal RNA is filed under the name Mustela putorius furo (domestic ferret). Lineage: Eukaryota; Metazoa; Chordata; Mammalia; Carnivora; Mustelidae. The record is from RNAcentral.
AUCCACUGUCGAUUACCCUGAACGUGCUGAUCUGGUCUGAUCUCAGAAGCUAAACAGGGUUGGGCCUGGAAGACCAAACUGAAUAAUUUGAAGCCCAAAUGGAUU